This 253-nucleotide ribosomal RNA is filed under the name uncultured bacterium. RNAcentral describes it as "partial 16S ribosomal RNA". It matches the Rfam family "Bacterial small subunit ribosomal RNA", at positions 524 to 776 of the family's 1533-position model. The record is from RNAcentral.
UACGAAGGGGGCUAGCGUUGUUCGGAAUCACUGGGCGUAAAGCGUCCGCAGGUGGCAGUUCAAGUCUGCUGUCAAAGACCGGGGCUUAACUUCGGAAAGGCAGUGGAAACUGAACAGCUAGAGUAUGGUAGGGGCAGAGGGAAUUCCUGGUGUAGCGGUGAAAUGCGUAGAGAUCAGGAAGAACAUCGGUGGCGAAGGCGCUCUGCUGGACCAUAACUGACACUCAGGGACGAAAGCUAGGGGAGCGAAUGGG